CGAUUCUGUACCGCCUCUGGGAUGUUUGCCGAUGCUAGCGUAGAGGACUUUUAUGCCAUAGUGAGGAAGAAGACGGCGUCUGUGGUGAUACGGAUGAGGGGGAGCUCAAUUAGCAUCCUGAAAAUGAUAGCAGAGAGGUGGGACUCGGAUAUUCUCCGCCGAUAUACCGACCGACCUACAUGUCUUACGACCUAGAAAAUAAGUAUUUUUUAUUUAUGUUUUAAGUUCACUAAUGUAGUUUCAUAAGUGUCUUGUAACUAACAAUCUAUGGAUCUCAGGAAUCUGAAAAUAAAUAUAUAUAUUUUUUUAUGGCGACUUUAUCAACAAUUUUUAUUCGGAUUAUGGAAAGCCCUAAUGUGUGUGUGGAAACCGUUGUAGUAAACCAGAAACAGCGAUAAUUUCACGAAAGUGAAUCAGCAGAUGGCUUGAGCGUGAGAUAAUAAUAUAAUCCUGGGCCGUCAAAUGAUUUCUUGGAAAAAGCUCAAAGGGCACGUAUCUGCCGCAUAUCCAAACUACUUUCCCGGUGACCAAGAACGCUGAGUGGAGCUGUGAAGCAGAAAAUGUCCGAUAACCGGAUAGAUGUAAUAACAACUUGUAACCAUUUGCCAUAUCAGUGUAUGUAUUCAUAUGUAUUGCUCCUAACAUAUAUACAGUAAUCCUAAUAGGAAUGAAAAUAUUUAUAUCUUAAUAAUACGUAACUUUUUGUUACCUUUUAUAUUUCACGAAUUACUAAAUAUAGUACCUAAUCAUUAUCUUUUAACGUAUUUUUUACUUAUUUGUGAUAUGCUAAUUGAAGAGCCCAACAACGCGCACACUAGCGCCACUGCUAAAUAAUCGUGAUUAUUUAAAUUUAACGACAGGUAUUUAAAAAGGGGGCCGCUUCGGACUGUAUUGUAUAUUUAGGUACCUUUUGAAUACAUCAAACUAGUUUUUGUUGCUGGAUUCGUCGAUCUAUGAGCUCGAAACAAACGGCCGUUUUAACUAUAGACGGGUAGAUUGACGAAUCCAGUAACAUAAAAACUAGUUUAAUGUAUUCAGCAGUGGCGCUAGUGUGCACGUUGAUGGGCUCUUAAAAACCUGACCCCAACAAAAAAGAAAAAGUACUUACAAAAAGAAAUUCCCUCUCCGGGAUUCGAACCUAGGACCAUUAGCUUCCUGAACUGGAUUACUGCCAAUACCCGCUAGGCAAAACGGGUUGUCAAUUCUAAUUACAGUGGUAUCCUACCAGAGCGCUAGUAGUAUAAACGAACUUUUGAAAGGGAAAUUUUUUUGUAUGGAGUUAUCGUUCUUCUCCUAGUGA
Long non-coding RNA from Cydia fagiglandana, 1300 nucleotides. RefSeq lists it as uncharacterized. The record is from RefSeq and is a predicted model, not a curated record. The transcript is spliced from 3 exons. Lineage: Eukaryota; Metazoa; Arthropoda; Insecta; Lepidoptera; Tortricidae.